This 390-nucleotide ribosomal RNA is filed under the name uncultured Pseudomonas sp. RNAcentral's name for it is "bacterial SSU rRNA". It matches the Rfam family "Bacterial small subunit ribosomal RNA", at positions 98 to 484 of the family's 1533-position model. The record is from RNAcentral. Lineage: Bacteria; Pseudomonadati; Pseudomonadota; Gammaproteobacteria; Pseudomonadales; Pseudomonadaceae.
GCGGACGGGUGAGUAAUGCCUAGGAAUCUGCCUGGUAGUGGGGGAUAACUCGGGGAAACUCGAGCUAAUACCGCAUACGUCCUACGGGAGAAAGCGGGGGAUCUUCGGACCUCGCGCUACCAGAUGAGCCUAGGUCGGAUUAGCUAGUUGGUGAGGUAAAGGCUCACCAAGGCGACGAUCCGUAGCUGGUCUGAGAGGAUGAUCAGCCACACUGGAACUGAGACACGGUCCAGACUCCUACGGGAGGCAGCAGUGGGGAAUAUUGGACAAUGGGCGAAAGCCUGAUCCAGCCAUGCCGCGUGUGUGAAGAAGGUCUUCGGAUUGUAAAGCACUUUAAGUUGGGAGGAAGGGCAGUAAGUUAAUACCUUGCUGUUUUGACGUUACCGACAG